GUCUACGGCCACACCACCCUGAAGGCACCCAAUUUCGUCUGAUCUUGGAAGCUAAGCAGGGUCCUGCCUGGUUAGUACUUGGAUGGGAGAAAAAUACAGAAACCUGCUCAAGGCC
RNAcentral lists this ribosomal RNA (115 nucleotides) under Chinchilla lanigera (long-tailed chinchilla). The record is from RNAcentral. Lineage: Eukaryota; Metazoa; Chordata; Mammalia; Rodentia; Chinchillidae.